UGGAUAAUAAUGUAAUACUCAUUGGAAUCCAAAAAUACCCUGAAACCAUUAAGAUUACUAAGAUGAGCAAAAAAAGAAUACACAUCGAUUUGGUGAACUUACAGAGAAAGAAACGAAAGACCACUUGAAAAUUAAUUAGAUGGAAGUGUACAAAUUAUAAUACUUUCUUGAAAGAAAAAGUAAUCAAUUUCUUAACACAAAUUCAAGCCUAUAAAUUUUGUUUGGGUACACGUUAUUGUUCCCUUUUGAUUGUUGGAAUUGUUUGCUUUCGUAGAAUUCUGGCCCCAUUUUCUCUCCUGAUUUUUGUCUAAAUUCAUUUCGUGAUGCUGGCAACCAUAUCUAAUGCCACACAUGGUUGAUCAACUGGAACCUGCUUCCACAUAAAUAAAUAAAAAUUAUUUGUACAUUUUUCUGUUAUGCUAUGGACCUAAUACAAUUAAGUGCCUGCAAUUUGAGAAUAUAUAAAUUUAUGGAAAACUUUUUUUAAGAGAUGCAAGCAACUUGCCUAACAGUUAAUGAAGUGAGGUAAAAAUUAUAAAAAUAUUUUAAUUUACUUGGUGAACAGAGCUACUCGAGAAAAGGUAACAGGGAGCAACAAAACUAGCUUCUAUUCUAUGUAAAUUCCUUAAAAAGAAAAACAAAGACUGUUACAAUAUUUGCCUCUCCAAUUUAUUCUUAUUUUUAAUGUUAAAUAAGCAUAAUACUAAGGGAUGAAAAUGGCAUCUUCCCUUUUCUUUUCUCCUCUUCGUUAAUUUCUAAGUAAUGAUAAUUCUCCAAUAUCAGACGUUUGACCAAUCUAGAUUAUGGUGCUCAAGCAAGAUGAAAAGAAGAGAGACAAAUGCAUUAGGAAAAAAAGAAAAGAAAUAAAGUAAACUUAGUUUGAAUUGUGCGACUAUUCAGAAUAAAAAUAUUUGAAUAAUUUUAGUAGGAAAAAAAAUAAUGGUUUGAAAUAUGAAAAUAAAUAAAUAGAUAUAGUUAUUUAAGAUGUCAAGAAACGACGAUGUUGAAAAAUCCUAUUGCUCUUUAGCCCGUAAGGCUUAUGGCCUGUUUGGCCAAGCAGGAAAUCAACUUAUUUUGAAAAGUAUUUUUGAAAAAGUUUUUCUGGAGAGAAGCGGUUUGUGUUUGGCUAAUCACUUUGAAAAAAUAAUUUUUACCAAUAAUUUGUGUUUGGCCAAGCUUUCAGAAAGUUAAGUAUCAAAUUACGAAUAAGGACAUGAAUAGAUUUACUGAAUAGUUAAUGUUAUAUAAGUAUUUAAAUAAUCUCAAAAUUUUAUUAUUACAGACGAUAAUUAAAUCUUUUUAUUUUUUUAAAUAAAAUUAAAAAGUACUUAAUUUUUUUUUACUUGAAAGGAAAAAAAAAGAGAAAAGAGAAUCUUUUCCCUGAUUUAAUGUUUGGAUAUGUCGGACAAGAGGGGUUGCUCUGAUGGUAAGCAACAUCCACUUCCAACCAAGAGGUUGUGAGUUCGAGUCUCCCCAAGAGCAAGGUGAGAGGUUCUUGGAGGGAAGGAUGUUGGGUUUCUAUUUGGAAACAGCCUCUCUACCCUAGGGUAGGGGUAAGGACUGCGUACAAACUACCCUCCCCAGACCCCACUUAGUGUGACAAGAGGGGUUGCUCUGAUGGUAAGUAACCCCCACUUCCAACCGAGAGGUUGUGAAGAGGUUCUUGGAGGGAAGGAUGCUGGGGGUCUAUUUGGAAACAACCUCUCUACCCCAGGGUAGGGGUAAGGUUUGCGUACAUACUACUCUCCCCGGACCACACUAAGUGGGAUUAUAUUGGGUUGUUGUUGUUGUAAAUAUAUUAAAAAUCACUCAACAAAUAUAAAAGCAUUGACCUUUAAAGUCACUAUAUAUUAAAAAGCUAUUCUAAAUAUAAGAAGAAAUACUUAUACAUUAAUAUCCUAAGUAUUAGAUUUAGUGGCUAUUUUGGUAUAUAUAUAUAUUGUUAAUGGUAUUUUUGGUAAGAAGAAAAGUAAAAACUGCUUCUACUUCCGGGAAGAAGUUACUUUUUUCUUCUGUAUCUUUUUAAAAGUUUUUUUUUUCCAACUAAAACUUGGCCAAACAUGUUAUUAGUUCAAGUGACACAGGUUGAAAAAUCGAGCCAUAUAUGUGAAUCAGAGGCAUAACAUGUGUGCACCAUUAUGUUAAUCAAAGAGAGCAUGAGAAAUUAAGAUUUUAUUUAUUAAUUAUAAAGAAAUUAAUUAAAAAUAAUUAGUAUAUGGGGAUCAAACUCCAGACAUGAGAAACAAAAGGCGCACUUAUUAACAUGUGCACCAGAGCAGUCACUUGAGUAUGAUGAACACAAAUAUAUUUAGAUACAUAAUUUAAGAAAUUAAUAUCAUUUUUACAUAACUUAGGAAGAAGAGCAUAAAUUAUGUACCCCACAUCUUCACGUAAAUCUGCCCCUUACAUGAACUAAGUCUAAUAUUUAAGUGAAAAAGGAUAGAAGACGAAUUAAUCAAAUUUUCAAAGUUAUCCUAAGGGUUGGCCCGUAAACAGAUUUUUUUUUCAUGAAAAAGGAAAAAAACGAGUCGGGAAUAGAGCAGUGGCUUAUUCAAUGUUAUACCACAAUUUAUUUUCAGACAUAAUUGUUCACGAAAUGUGGCAUGAGACAUCUUAUGAUAUAAGGAGUGCACGAAACUUCAUAAAGAAUAAAUAGAAUUCACUCUAUACCCAUAAUAUCCUAUUUUCACUCAUGAGAUUCACUCUCAGAUUUCUCAGCAUCACGGGUAAACCAUACUAAUUUCUGACACGCCAGUGCUUUAAUUUUGGUGUCAGAAAAUCUUAUUAAUUCCCUGCACUAAGUCAUGAGUAAUUUACACUCUUUCUAGUUAUGAUAACAUUAUUAAUUUGAACUCCCACCCCAAGUAUUUAGCAAUUAGUUUAGUAGGGUUCUGUAAGAAUAGUGCUGAACAAAGUAUAUUAGUAAUAUGGAGAUUUAUAAUGUUAGAAUCAGUUAUGUUGAGAUUAUUUUUUAUCGAAUAUUUGGUUUGGUGUAGGGGUGUACAUAGACCGGGUUGAUUCGGAUUUUAAAAUUAUCAAAUCAAACGAAUUAUGUCGGGUUAUUAAAUCUAAAGACCAAACCAAACCAAUAAAACUCGGGUUUUUCAAUAUCGAUUUUUCUCGGGUGUCCUCGGGUUUUCGGGUUAUUCGGGAUUUUUCGGAUUAUUUUCCGGUAAAAUCUUCGUAGAACAAAACAUAUAACGUACGCUCAAACUAUUUCUGUAAUCGUAGUAAUAUACAACUAUAUAAGUAUUUUUCAAGAAAAUAAUACAAAAUAUGAGAUGUGCCAUGACAUUAUCCUAAAAUAUUCAACAAUAAAAUUAUGUAAUAUAAAUAUUGCUACAUUAAAAAGUCAUAGUAAAAAUAAACAUAAUCUAAAAGCACUAAGUCAUGCUAAAAUAAGUAGACUAAUAAAGAAGUAUUAAUUAUAUGACUAAAAGCUAAAGCAAAAUAAAAUAGGUUAUGCAUUUUUAUAUAAAUCAUUGCAAAAUAAAAAUAGAUAUCCAAUACUUUCCUGUUCGUAAUAUUUAAUUGAAUGUCUUUUGUUAGCAUUAGUAUUGAUUGUUAACAUUAUUUAAUUUUUACUAAUAUUAAUGGCUAUAAAACUUAUUGGAGCCUUCAAAAGUUCUAAGUUCAACCUUGUAAUAAUACCUUAAAAGAUAAAAUAAUAAAAUAUUUUAAGAAAUAUUUAUAAAUUACAUUACAAUAAGUAUAUUAUAUAUUAAAUAUAUCUAAAAUUUCUAUAUGUAAUGUCGGGUUGGUUUGGUUUCGGUUUGACUUUAUUUAGUUA
This 3790-nucleotide long non-coding RNA is filed under the name Nicotiana benthamiana. Its description in RNAcentral is "long non-coding RNA (NBEN_LNC030686)". Lineage: Eukaryota; Viridiplantae; Streptophyta; Magnoliopsida; Solanales; Solanaceae. The record is from RNAcentral.